Molecule: transfer RNA, 72 nt
Filed under: Marmota monax (woodchuck)
Lineage: Eukaryota; Metazoa; Chordata; Mammalia; Rodentia; Sciuridae
Rfam family: tRNA
About the family: Transfer RNA (tRNA) molecules are approximately 80 nucleotides in length.
Source: Rfam by way of RNAcentral
UGGGGUGUGGCUCAGUGGUAGAGCUCUUGCCUAGUACAUACGAAGAACUGGGUUUGACCCUCAGCACCACAU